CCACCGAGUCCCGUCCGCGAGAAACCUUUGCAGCCCGGUCACAUUGCCGUCGAGGAGGAGCCGCCGGAGCGAGAACCGCGGCCGGUGAAGCCGGGCCACCGACGGAUCGAGCAGGCGGGAGGAGCCCUGCGCUGCUGCGCCUUCAUCGAUCACGACACCGCCCCGUCCGCACUCCCGCUCAGCCCAGCCCAUGUAGGGCACCGCGAGUCCGCGACACAGCCCGUCCGCGCGCCGCCAGCUUCAUCCACGCGCGUGACCCGCGCCGGUGGCUGCCUCCCGCACGAGAAGUUAGCCGCCUGGGCCGUCUCGAGCAGCACGAGAGGAGGCUGAGCGAGCUGCAGGGGCGAGCCGCCGGGGCCGCGUGAGACUUCGCCGUGGCCGUCUCAUGAUCAAGACUUUAGAGAUUGAGUGUCCGUUCAUGGUGGCUGCGGCACCGGCGGGCCUCCGAACAAAUUCAAGCCAGGGAAGCCAGGAUGUGGCGAUCUAUGUCCGCUGGAGGCAAAGGUGAUCAGCUGGGACGGCGUGCACUUCACAGAUUUCAGCAGCGGGCUUGCUGCCAAGCUCGCGCGUCGCGAUGAGUGGCGAGUACUCCAAGCCCAGGGUGAAGCUGGCAAGCUUGAUACACUGCGGCUCCAAGAAAUAGUUAGAUUCUUGAUGCAGAUCAACGCUUCAUGACCUUUGAAUCCAUCAUCUAUGGAUGUAGUGAUGGCCAAGGACUGGAGAUGAGGGCUGUUGUGGUUGGAGAUGUUGCUUCAGACUUUCUCGACGUCGAUGGACUCCUUGUACAAAGAAGGCAAAGUAGCAAUGGAUAUGCUCGAUUACAACCAAACAAUUGGGAGGUCUUUUUUUUUUGGAUUUUGUUGUGCAGUGCUGAGUAGUAUAAAGAUAUUUUACCUUGAUGUACAUGUAUAGACUAGUUAUGAUAGUUACAAGCUCCCAUUGCUCCCA
Panicum virgatum (switchgrass) is the source of this 948-nucleotide long non-coding RNA. RefSeq lists it as uncharacterized. NCBI's taxonomy places the organism in Eukaryota, Viridiplantae, Streptophyta, Magnoliopsida, Poales, Poaceae. The record is from RefSeq and is a predicted model, not a curated record. The transcript is spliced from 2 exons.